GAUUCAGUAGUGUAGGGGUAUCAUGGGCGCUUGCCAAUCAGCUUCCAGACUGACCGCAUUCUGCGCCCGACCCGGGUUCAAAUCCCGGCUGAAUCA
Geopyxis carbonaria is the source of this 96-nucleotide non-coding RNA. Lineage: Eukaryota; Fungi; Ascomycota; Pezizomycetes; Pezizales; Tarzettaceae. The record is from the annotation of a GenBank genome assembly.